CUAAUCACAAAGGGGAGUCCAUCUGGGCUGAGAUUGAGUUUACUCUAAACCCUUCGUACCUGUUUCGAUCAUUCGAACGUAGGAAUUGUGACGAGUUGAAGU
This 102-nucleotide non-coding RNA is filed under the name Enterococcus saccharolyticus. Its description in RNAcentral is "TPP sequence". It matches the Rfam family "TPP riboswitch aptamer (THI element)". From Rfam's summary of the family: Vitamin B(1) in its active form thiamin pyrophosphate (TPP) is an essential coenzyme that is synthesised by coupling of pyrimidine and thiazole moieties in bacteria. The previously detected thiamin-regulatory element, thi box was extended, resulting in a new, highly conserved RNA secondary structure, the THI element, which is widely distributed in eubacteria and also occurs in some archaea. Lineage: Bacteria; Bacillati; Bacillota; Bacilli; Lactobacillales; Enterococcaceae. The record is from RNAcentral. RNAcentral also lists the same sequence under 1 other name.